CUGGCGGCACGCUUAACACAAUGCAAGUCGAACGGAGUUAUCGAGAGCUUGCUUUGAUAACUUAGUGGCGGACGGGUGAGUACACGUGAGCAAUCUGCCCUUAAGAGGGGGAUAGCAGUUGGAAACGACUGAUAAUACCGCAUAAGAUAGUAGUACCGCAUGGUACAGCUAUAAAAGAUUUAUCGCUUAAAGGAUGAGCUCGCGUCUGAUUAGCUAGUUGGUGAGGUAACGGCUCACCAAGGCAACGAUCAGUAGCCGGACUGAGAGGUUGGACGGCCACAUUGGGACUGAGACACGGCCCAGACUCCUACGGGAGGCAGCAGUGGGGAAUAUUGCACAAUGGAGGAAACUCUGAUGCAGCGAUGCCGCGUGAGGGAAGAAGGUUUUAGGAUUGUAAACCUCUGUUGACAGGGACGAUAAUGACGGUACCUGUUGAGGAAGCUCCGGCUAACUACGUGCCAGCAGCGGC
This 469-nucleotide ribosomal RNA is filed under the name uncultured bacterium. RNAcentral's name for it is "bacterial SSU rRNA". It matches the Rfam family "Bacterial small subunit ribosomal RNA", at positions 36 to 518 of the family's 1533-position model. The record is from RNAcentral.